CAGACCCAACCUACCGUAUCCACCAAUCACAGCAGAAGGUUUCCUCCCACUUUGUCGCAGGCUCAUCCACGUUUUUUUCACGGAGAAGGUAACUGCUUUGUGUUUUUAACACGAAGGAAGUCGACUGUUCCGUCGCGAACAGCUAUAUUAUAGCCUGCCCACCGCCAUGUUUUUAGGGUAGUACUUAGGAACCUGUCUAAGGUUUGAAGUUGAUGUAUUAUAUAUUGUUUUUGACCUCCGUUUCUGAUUAUUUUAUGUUACUACGCAAAAAAUUACAAAGUGACUCCAAAGGAAGAAAUGGCAGACGGACAAUGAAAGCUGGAGCUGUGAGAAGUGUUGGAGUAGAUUAUUCCAUGUCCUGGAAUCCCUUGGAAUAAAUAUACAGGGGCCGACCAGAUCAGUAAGAUCAACGAUGAUGUCAAGCCUUCAGAGUUUCCUACACAUAUUUUUUGGGAUAAUGAUCGCUGUUUGUCUUUAAUGUACAGUUGAAAAUGUAGACAGUGCAGUGUUUUCAAUCGAUAAAAAGUCUUUACCCCUCUGUUUCUCCACAAAUAGGCUGUAGAAGGACUGACAACUGUGGUUAUAGCAUAUGUGACAAACAUAAACAGAAUUUAGAUGAGCUGUGAUUUGUGAGUACAAACUUAGCAGUAUGCUUCGUUUAAAGGGAAAUUUUCCCUAAUUGUCUACCUUCUGCUGCAGGGGCUCUCCAUCACCAUCAUGAUGAUGGCUCUCUUUUACUAUCAGAAAAGUUUAAAUAGAGAUCCUUUCUUGUAUAUUUUGUGAUGCUGCACCAUUAUUAGCUAUAUUUGGACAUUUGCAUAUAUGUGUAAUACCUGAUAAAGAACGAUAGAUUUUAUUUGUAUUCUGCAGCAUUAAACCAGUACAUUCCUCAUUCCUUCCACUCAGAGUUCAAAGUUCAUCUUCUCUGAUUGCUUGUGUGAUGCUAAAGGGAAAAACUUUGAAAUCUGCAAGUCUAUAUUUACAGAGCUUUUAAAAUUGAGCUUUAUAUUCAUUAGAUGUGUUGAUUUUCCAACUUUUUGCUGCAGUCAUGUUUUGAAUGCUUCAUUCUCAGGCUCAUAGAUUUUUUUCCACCUUUUUUUGCAACAGAUUUGACUCCUUUUUUGCUUACUGAAGAUUAUGCAAAAUGGUUGUACUUUCUGCUGUUGGCUAACAAAGAGGAAUAAAUGGGGACACUUGAUUUUUACAGCCUGUAUCAGGUGAACACUGUGUGUAACGGUGAGGGUUACAGAUUUAUCUCAGUGUUACUUUGCUCUGACUUUAACAGUUUACUAGGCUGUAAAAUAAAAGGUUUUGAAUCA
This is a long non-coding RNA of Girardinichthys multiradiatus, 1319 nucleotides long. RefSeq lists it as uncharacterized. The record is from RefSeq and is a predicted model, not a curated record. Lineage: Eukaryota; Metazoa; Chordata; Actinopteri; Cyprinodontiformes; Goodeidae. The transcript has 2 exons.